UACGUAGGGGGCAAGCGUUGUCCGGAAUUAUUGGGCGUAAAGAGCGUGUAGGCGGUCCGGUAAGUCGGCUGUGAAAGUCCAGGGCUCAACCCUGGGAUGCCGGUCGAUACUGCCGGACUAGAGUUCGGAAGAGGCGAGUGGAAUUCCCGGUGUAGCGGUGAAAUGCGCAGAUAUCGGGAGGAACACCUAUGGCGAAGGCAGCUCGCUGGGACGUUACUGACGCUGAGGCGCGACAGCGUGGGGAGCAAACAGG
RNAcentral lists this ribosomal RNA (253 nucleotides) under uncultured bacterium. RNAcentral describes it as "partial 16S ribosomal RNA". It matches the Rfam family "Bacterial small subunit ribosomal RNA", at positions 524 to 776 of the family's 1533-position model. The record is from RNAcentral.